GCUCGUCCCUGACCACCACUCAUAAGGAAGGCAAUCAAAGAAACACCUCAUGCUUCAAAUUUGUUACACAACGGUUACCAUACGUGCAUGCUACGGGACUUGCAAACCUCAACACAAGUAUUUCUCAAUUCCACAAUUACUCAACUAGCAUGCCUCUAAUAUUACCAUCUUCAUAUCUCAAAACAAUCAUCAAGUAUCAAACUUCUCAUAGUAUUCAAUGCACUCUAUAUGAAAGUUUUUAUUAUACCCAUAUUGGAUUCACAUCAUAUUAGGACUAAUUUUAUAACCAAAGAAAAUUACCAUGCUGUUCUAAAAGACUCUCAAAAUAAUAUAAAUGAAGCAUGAUAGAUCAACAAUUUCUUCAAAAUGAAACUACCGUCAUGCUCUAAGAAGAUAUAAGUGAAGCACUAGAGCAAAUGACAAACUACCCAAAAGAUAUACUCCCUCUAUACCGAUAUAUUUGUCGUUGGGGGAUUAUUCCGACCAGGUGAAAACGGGAAAAUGUACCAAACUACCCCUAAUUUGAAAUACUUGUCGCUGGGGAUCGUCGUCUUCCUCCAUCCGCCAUCCGCCCCGCACCCCCGGCGUCCUCAGCUCCUUCACCCUCCGCUGCAGCUCCGGCGUCCUUCCCCGCCGGCCGCCUUCCUCCGCUCCAAUCGAGAGCCUGAGGUCGAUCAACCGCUGGUAUGCCAUCCGCCACAGCGCCGGCGUCCUUCCCAAAUUGAUCCACAUCUCCUGUCCACUACCGCUCCUCUUGAAUUGAUCCAUAGCUCCAAUCCACUGCUGCUCCUCUCAAAUUGAUCCACAGCUCCAAUCCUCUGCUGCUCCGCUGCUUGAUUUUGGCUCCGAUCGUGGUAUAGCUGGUUGUUGAUCCCCUGAGGUAGUGAAGUCCGCCGCUGCUCCAUGGUGUUCAUCGCUUGCCGCCAGUAGUAUCCCUUUCGCCUGGCUGGAGACCUGAAAUUUUGCGUGAAAAUCCCGCAAGAUUGGAGUGAUUUUGAACUGAAAUUUUGACAUCCCUCGUAAGUGCAAAAAGAGAGUAACUGCUGCAGAUACCUGUAUUCUUCGUAUUUGAGUGAUUGGAGUAACAGCUGCUUGGUACUCCAGCUUGGAGUGAUCUGCUGAUUGGAGUACUUGGUUCUUCAACUUGAUCCUCUGCUGUUCAUCAAGUAAAUUGUGGUCAGAUUUUGAAGAUCACACUCGAGCAAACUGUUACUCUGAAUGCUCCGCAGCAUAGUUGCUUAUUUGGACAGCAGAAAAUUGAUCGCAUGAACGACAACAAUAGCAAGAUCAAUUGUGUGAACAGCAACAACAACAAGAUCAACUGAUCACAGGAAUAGCAACAACAGUAGGUGAGUUACUCCAUUUACUAUUAACUUGACAUAUAUGGUCAGUUUACAAAUGUUCACAACAAGCAUUGUAUGGUCAGUAUGAAAAUGGUUGAUUUACUCCAUUUUAAUGCCAAAUUUAUACUCCAUGAGACUUGGUAUGAAUAUUGUCAACAUCACAGUAAAUUUAUACACAGAACAUUAUUGAGUAUGUUCAGUAAGGUGCUUUGUUGAAUUAGUAUGAAUAUUGUCAUCAUCAUAGUAAAUUCAUACAAAUUCAGCACCACAGUACUCCAUGAGACUUUGCACCACUACUAGUGCUGGUUCGCACUACUAAUCCAUGCAUGGAUUGCACUACUACUCCAUGAGACUUGUAAGGAAGUUGGGUUUCUGCAGUACCAAAAAUAGUGAGUAGGAGUAUAGCAGAAACAGGUGCAAAAGAACAUCAAUAAACAGGUGUGAAAAAACAGGAGUACCAAAUCAGUUAACUAAAUUUUUAAAUGAACUUGAGUUACACAGUUACACUGACAUAAUUACUCCUGAACUUUAAUUGCGUUAAAGGAAAAGAUUUCAGUUUAUCUUGAUUAAUAGAAAGAAGUUACAUUUAGUUUUACUUAAAGGAAAAGAUUUCAGUUUAUCUUGAUUAACAGAAAAAUGUUACUCCUACACUAUCCUGAAAAAGUUGCACAAAUCUCUACCGCCAAGCCUUGCAUUCACAGAAAUAAAGUACUCCAUACUCCAUACUGUACAUCCUUCCAUAAGCAAAGAAGAUGCACAUAAAUCUCUACUCCAUGCUUUAUUGAAUUUAGUGAAUCAAGUCCGAAGAAGCUACAGGAGAUCACUACAAAUCUCUAAUCCAUGCUUUAGCACAUUCAAUUACACACAGGAUAUCACAGGAGAAGAUGUGGAGGUCCCAUAAAUCUGUGAGACCAGCCAAAUUUCAUUGCUUGAGGCCCAUUUAGACAAUUUUGAUAGUGAUAAACUUUAUUUUAUUUUAGUCAAAGCAUCAGAGUGACAAAGCUUAUUUUAUUUCAGUUUCAAAUUUUCAGUUUUUAUAGUGGAUACAGUUUUGGCAGUAAAACUCUGCAGUACUCUAAUUUUACAAACUGAAAAUUAUGACAAUACAAGCAGAUCUCAAUUUCCAAAUCUGUACAAACUGCGCCAGAAUAACAGUUUCUGAAGAAGGGUCUCUGAAGAUUUAUGUAGUUUUCUGCAGUUUCAGAUUUCUGCAGUUUUAUCGUCUCUGAAGAUAAGUUGCAGCAAGCAAGCAAAUAGGGUGGAGGGUGAUACCUUCCGUCCUUGGCACAGCGUCUCUGGCACUAUGAUGGGAGGGGAGCAGCGGUGGAAGAAGCAAAGCCGGACGAGCGGUGGUCUUCCGUCCAACCAACCAGCAGAGUGGAGGGAGGGGAAGAGAGAGGAGGGACCCUCCAUGAAGAGAGAGGAGGGAGAAGAGACGGGGUGGGUGGAUCAAAUCAAGUCCAGAUGAGCAGCAGCGAGGGAGCUAGGAAAGGGUGACGUACCACACGGCGUUGGAGUGGACGAAAGCCAUUCCAGAUCGAGCCGCCGCACUAGGGAUCAGCCGCCGGAGAAUAAAAAUGAGAUCUUGGCGACGACGACGGAGCCAAUGGAGAGGCGUCGGCCACGCGGGUGAAGGAGAGGCGCCGGCGAAGCGGGGGAGGGAGAGGCGCAGGCGACGUGGGGGAGGGAGAGGCGCCGGCGACGCGAGCUAGGGAGAUGAGCCGGCAACGCAGGCGAGGGAGAGGCACCGACGAUGCAAGCUAGGGAUUCGGCUGGGCAAGACAGAGUGGGCGAG
RNAcentral lists this long non-coding RNA (3138 nucleotides) under Triticum aestivum (bread wheat). Its description in RNAcentral is "long non-coding RNA (TAES_LNC004265)". The record is from RNAcentral. Lineage: Eukaryota; Viridiplantae; Streptophyta; Magnoliopsida; Poales; Poaceae.